CCUACGGGAGGCAGCAGUGAGGAAUAUUGGUCAAUGGACGAGAGUCUGAACCAGCCAAGUAGCGUGAAGGAUGACUGCCCUAUGGGUUGUAAACUUCUUUUAUAUGGGAAUAACAUGUUCCACGUGUGGGAUUUUGUAUGUACCAUAUGAAUAAGGAUCGGCUAACUCCGUGCCAGCAGCCGCGGUAAUACGGAGGAUCCGAGCGUUAUCCGGAUUUAUUGGGUUUAAAGGGAGCGUAGGUGGAUUGUUAAGUCAGUUGUGAAAGUUUGCGGCUAAACCGUAAAAUUGCAGUUGAAACUGGCAGUCUUGAGUACAGUAGAGGUGGGCGGAAUUCGUGGUGUAGCGGUGAAAUGCUUAGAUAUCACGAAGAACUCCGAUUGCGAAGGCAGUUCACUGGACUGCAACUGACACUGAGGCUCGAAAGUGUGGGUAUCAAACAGGAUUAGAUACCCCAGUAGUC
Molecule: ribosomal RNA, 460 nt
Filed under: uncultured bacterium
Lineage: Bacteria
Description: partial 16S ribosomal RNA
Rfam family: Bacterial small subunit ribosomal RNA
Source: RNAcentral